GACGAACGCUGGCGGCGUGCUUAACACAUGCAAGUCGAACGGAAAGGCCCUGCUUUUGUGGGGUGCUCGAGUGGCGAACGGGUGAGUAACACGUGAGUAACCUGCCCUUGACUUUGGGAUAACUUCAGGAAACUGGGGCUAAUACCGGAUAGGAGCUCCUGCUGCAGGGUGGGGGUUGGAAAGUUUCGGCGGUUGGGGAUGGACUCGCGGCUUAUCAGCUUGUUGGUGGGGUAGUGGCUUACCAAGGCUUUGACGGGUAGCCGGCCUGAGAGGGUGACCGGCCACAUUGGGACUGAGAUACGGCCCAGACUCCUACGGGAGGCAGCAGUGGGGAAUAUUGCACAAUGGGCGGAAGCCUGAUGCAGCAACGCCGCGUGCGGGAUGACGGCCUUCGGGUUGUAAACCGCUUUCGCCUGUGACGAAGCGUUAGUGACGGUAAUGGGUAAAGAAGCACCGGCUAACUACGUG
Molecule: ribosomal RNA, 468 nt
Filed under: uncultured bacterium
Lineage: Bacteria
Description: partial 16S ribosomal RNA
Rfam family: Bacterial small subunit ribosomal RNA
Source: RNAcentral